RNAcentral lists this transfer RNA (59 nucleotides) under Pterobdella arugamensis. Its description in RNAcentral is "tRNA-Glu". Lineage: Eukaryota; Metazoa; Annelida; Clitellata; Hirudinida; Piscicolidae. The record is from RNAcentral.
AUAUAGUGUAAUAAUGCACAAUAGUUUUUCAUACUGUUAGAAUGAUAAUAGUCAUUAUA